CUCUUCCUUAGCUUCUCCUCAAGGUCCUGAAAUGGUUAUUCAAUAACCAAUGAGACCACGUCUCAGCGAGUCCUACCCCCUAAGACUCGAUUAGAAAGCCAAUACACUAUAGGCUGCUUAAACACGGCACGAGUUGGAGGACUUACCUUGGCCUCAAAUUCCAUCUGCAUAUUAGUACAGUUCAAUAGGCAUUCAAGCAAUCACAUCACCGAUCGAAGCAUCGAUCGAAUCGACCUAGUCGAUUUCAUAUCAGUCGAACCCUUUCAAGAACUAGUGGCUUUACGGUCCCACCCGACCCUCUCAAGAACUAGUGGCUUUACGGUCCCACCCGACCCUCUCAAGAACUAGUGGCUUUACGGUCCCACCCGACCCUCUCCAGAACCAGUGGCUUUACGGUCCCACCCGACCCUCUCAAGAACUAGUGGCUUUACGGUCCCACCCGACCCUCUCAAGAACUAGUGGCUUUACGGUCCCACCCGACCCUCUCCAGAUUCAAUUUUGGAAUAAAUCUUAAAUUCACUCAUAAAUUACUUUAGCACCAAAUAAAGCUCAAAUAAAUAAACGGACUGCACCACGACAAUUAGCACAAAAUUCCGGUCACCGGCCAUCCCAGUUGAAUUUCCGGAAAAAUAAAUAAUUAAAUAAUUAAUUUCGAAAAUUAAAUAAAUAAUUAUAAAAAUCCAAUUUAGGCUUAUAAUGCCGAAUUGGAUUCCGAGACAAGCCCGGAAAAUUACCGAGACUCGCUCCAUAAAUAACAUGGCAUGUCUACUUGCUAAUGUCUAUUUCUAACCACCUAACAUGCAUCAUUAAGUCUCUAAUUUAAUUGAUCUAAACUAAUCUAACCACCUAAUUGCAUUUAAUUAAAUCUAACCAACCCCUAAGCAUAUUUAGCAAACUAAGAAAGCUUUAGUGAGUAAAACUCACUUGACAAAAGCGGAGAUCGAAUCACCGCGACGGCAACAUGACGGCGGCCGAAAUUGGACUUUCGACAACACCGGCGGACUUGGACCGGGCCUUAAGCUUAGGCCCAACAAAUCUCAGCCCAACUGAGAUUUGUUCUUGCUUUUGGGCCAGACCCAAGUUGGGUUGGGCCUGCUGAAAUGGGCUUGACCAAUUAAUUCACUUGGAUUGGACUGGGCUUGAAGACUGCAGGAGAUGGGCCUCAGAAAAUUCUGUUGAUGGGCUGCUGGACAAAGACUUCGCAGGCUUCAUGGCUGAAGAAGAAGGCCCAAAGAAGCUGCUGGUUCUGUUGAAAUCAAU
Molecule: long non-coding RNA, 1260 nt
Filed under: Eucalyptus grandis
Lineage: Eukaryota; Viridiplantae; Streptophyta; Magnoliopsida; Myrtales; Myrtaceae
Description: long non-coding RNA (EGRA_LNC006441)
Source: RNAcentral